Long non-coding RNA from Magallana angulata, 3996 nucleotides. RefSeq lists it as uncharacterized. The transcript has 3 exons. Lineage: Eukaryota; Metazoa; Mollusca; Bivalvia; Ostreida; Ostreidae. The record is from RefSeq and is a predicted model, not a curated record.
UCUAUGCCGUUUACCAAAUAAUAAAUGCUUGCUAUAUAUUACUAAAUUUCAAUGUUUUCCUUAAGUUAUGAGUUCGGUUCAAAAGCAAAUCGUAUUAUUCUUGUAUCUUUGUUUAAAGUAUAAAAAGUUAUUUAUUAUAAAGAUUCGAUGCUCUUUUUGACAUUUUAUAAAUUGAAUUUCUCUGAAAAAGACCUCUGAAAAUAAAGUCAUUUUUUUUAUACUUCCUACUUGAAUUGUUAAGAAGAUAUAAUAAUGCAGUGUUACAAACCACGAUUCGAUUAAGCAGGGCGUUGCAAACGCUAGUUGUAUAAUAAUCGCCGGUGUUACAUGUGCAUGAAGAGCACAACUGCAAAUUAAAGUAAACAAGAAACUGCGCAGCGUCAAAGAAAAAGCUUCCACUAUACAAAAACUUCGAACCGAUAGCAACUAUCCACCAGUCUUAAUCUCUAAAAAUUUUUAUGAAAAUAACCACAGAUAAUUUUGAAUACGUUUUAAAACAUUUUUAAUGUUAAAGGCAAAAGAUUCGCAUGGAAUUUAUUAUAGAUGAAUAGCUAACAAAGCAUAGGUUUUCUGGUCCAUACCAAAACCACAAAUUCGUAUCCUACUAUCUAUCUUUCUAUCUUUCUAUCUAUCUAUCUAUUCGUAGGCGGCUCGCAGCGGCAGUCGUUCUGAUCCCUCCCAAGUAUCAAAGGCUAGCUGCAACAAACCACAAAAACAACUUCAAUGCACUCUUUUUUCUCAGAAACGUGCUUUUGUAUUAGCAUCUUUAAGACACUCUCUUAGGAUUAGCUUUCAUUUAAACAAACCCUUGAGAUAAACACAUGUUUGAUAUUCCUAUUUUGUACGCAAAUUGCUUCUUUAAAAGGGAAGGGAAGGAAGGGACUCGUUUUCAAGAAAACUAAACAGCAUAGCAAUGUAGGCAGUAAAUAUGCAUUAAAAAUCAAGUUCAAUGCGUACAAAUUUUGAAAUAUUGCCGAUGCAAAGAUCAUGGAAAAUUUGUUGGUAAACCAUUUAAGCAAUUAUAUGUCGAAUUGGUUCCUUUUAAAUGCUUCAAUUUUGGCACUGGAUCGUGUUAGUCUUCUUAUUGACGGACUGUUCUACAAAGCUCUCGCAGACGCCCCACAAGCAAUCAUCAGUCAUGCUGAUGCAAAUGCAUUGAAAACACCUGUUUUAGUAUUUGUGGUUUUAGUAUGCAUUAUUCAACUUAUGAACAUUGCGUUUUCCGUUACCAUGUAUUUUAACCCAGCGCCAGAUGACAAUAUAUUCGAAGAGAAAAGGAAAUGGCCAGUAAUUUUAUCGGUGCUUGUAGUGUGGAUUGAUUUUGCUCAGAUUGUAAUUGCCCUUUCAACCGCCUUCAGAACAAACCAACUGAUUGGAAAUGUUCAAUUUUCUCAGCCUGUUUUUGCGUUAAUUAAGACAUUUUUUCAGAUACCUGCACUUGCGCUUCUUUACUUUGACAACAACCAAUAUUCCCAACUAGGUGUCGAAGAAGAAAUUUGUUUGGUACGCUGUUUCAAAAAGUAUACAUCUAUUUCUUUUCAGAAUCUUGUAAUCAUUGCUCUAGCUGGAUUUAUUUUAAACUGUUGUUGUUCUGUUCUUUUGCUUGUUAGAGUUUCUACGAAUUUGUAACAACAAAAAGCUUUUAUUUCUUAUAUACAAUAGCUCCAACUAUGUAAUAAACAACCCUUUACUGUUAUAUAUAUAAUAAGAAAUACAUGGUACAUAAUUGUUUUUCAAUAUGUUGUGUGUUCCUGAUAACUUUGCUGAAUUGAUUGUAUUUCUAAAACAAUAAAUUACAUACUUUUUUUAGUAAUAUCUUUUGUUUUUAGUAUCAUUUUGGUUUCACUACAUUAAUUCUGUAUUUAUACAAUUAUUCUAGUGUUACUUGGUCAUUUUCAAAAGUCACAUUGUAUGAUAAAUCUAGUUUGCAAUUUUUUUUAUACUUUAUAUUUAUUUUAAGGGUGUUUAUUUCUUGUAUAUGUGUACAUGUAUAGAUAUUUAUUUAUAGCAAACUAUGUAUUCGUGUUUAUAUUUUUUUUUUUUUGUUGCAUGAUACUUUUAUUUAAAUACUAGUAUACUUUGUUUACACACAUGCGUACUACUAUUUACUUUCGAACAUUAAUAAUGCUGUUUCAUGUGGAGCACAUGGCUGAGUGAACAUGGGCGUUGGGCCAGUAACCAAAAGAUCACUGGUUCAAACCCUGCUGUGGUCACCUAAUGUUGAUUGUUGUGCGCUUUGACGGGCAUUUUAUUUUUAUUGUCCAAGUCAACUUUACUAAAAUUGGGUUUCAGCUCUGCCCUUGGAGUUAACCUGCAAUGGACUGGUGUCCCAUACAUCACAUAUAUAUAUCACCUAUUUCGUCAUAUUCUUUUCCGUUCAUGUGCGCGUUGACCGGAAUUGGGCCAAAAUACUAUGUAAAGCAAUUCAAUUCAUAACCAUUACUUCAUGAAAUUUAGCGUUAAAUUACCAUAAAUGAUAACCAUUGCUUUUUUAAAGCAAAACAUUACCUAAACCCUUACAUGAGAAAAGUAGUGUAAUACUAUCGCCUAAAGCUACUUUGUGAAAAGUCAAUGAUGAAUUUAAAAAAGUCAAUUUCAAAUAAGAUUUUUUUUGCAAGUCCUCAUUCAAUAUAUCAAACACACUUACUAUACUUACCAUCAUAUUCAAUUUUACUGAUUUGUACAAAAUUAUUUCUGUCGUUUUAUGGUCAUUAAAGUUUCAAAGGUGUUGUCUUUUAACUGCAUUCUGUCGGGUUUGAAAAUCUUACCAGUUAUACAAAAUAAACGUUAUACAUGUACUAGUGCAAAGGAAGCUGUUGACUUGGUGAUGUUGAUGGUGAUUGAGGUCAGAUCAUAUUUUGGAAGAAGGUCAAUUUUUGUUCGCUUUGGCUGCUAAGUUUAAAGCCGAUAGUUUGGGAAAAUACUGUCUUGUCGCUAUUUCACUUUUUUAAGAAACUGACUCGUGAAAUGAAUAUCAUUUGAAACUGGAAGCAUAAUAGGGAAUGUGUGUCAACAUAUUUAUACAUCUGAGAUGUUUCCACAUUUAGCAAAUAACAUUUUCCAUAUACUGUAAGCGCAGUAUUGAAAAAAUCAUAUUCUUUUUAAUUUUAUCGCAAUUUUAUGACCCUUUGAAAUUUUAAAAUUGCCCAAGAAUGUUUGGGGAGGGGUACUAUGGCUUCUGUCAGAAGGCAGUAAUUUUAAACAAAAGGAAGCUAUGUAGUUUCCAUCAACAACGUAUAUUUUGAUAAUUUUAGGAAAUAACCAAAUUGAACGAUAUCAAUUAUUCUGAUACGUGUACAAUAGUAAGCCCCUUUAAUUGUUUUUAACGUCUUGGUUCUGGAUUUAAGAUAUACAUGUACUUACAAUUUAAAAAAAUAAAUGAAUAAUGUCUCAAUGACAAGAACCCAAUUUGUUUAUUCGCAAUCUAUCAGCAGCGUGUUACAUAUCAUAAUCAUGAUAUUGAGUCAUAACAUUUCAUAAUCUUGAUAUUGAGUUAUAAGUCCCACAACCUGUAAACCUACAUUUUAAACAUUUUCUGUGCAAGAUUUAUCGUUCUUUUCCAGAAAAUCUCCACAUUUUCUGUGCAAGAUUUAUCGUUCUUUUCCAGAAAAUCUCCACAUUUUCUGUGCAAGAUUUAUCGUUCUUUUCCAGAAAAUAAGUUUUGAAGUUAUUUAGAAAACUAUCUAUUCUUUCUAAAAUAUUGAUAUGCGAUUCAAAAUCAUUUAUAUAAGUCGUUGGGGUUGAGAUGUAACGUUGGGUUCAUACCAGUUAGAUGAGCUUAUUUUGUUUUUCUCUUAAUAUUGCGGGAACAAAAAGAUUUGUAAUAUAUUGAGACUGGUACAAAAGUGAGCUUGAGAGAAAAUAGAAUUGUAUAAUGUAUAUAGAUUAUGUAAGAUGAAACAGUGUCUUUUUGUAAAUAAGAUGUGAAAAAGGGUUUCUUUGUUUUCUGUAUUGCAUUUCAUAAUAAUAAACAUCCGCAAAUACAAUACGGGGUUU